This 71-nucleotide transfer RNA is filed under the name Xanthomonas citri pv. citri. RNAcentral describes it as "Pseudo tRNA". The record is from RNAcentral. Lineage: Bacteria; Pseudomonadati; Pseudomonadota; Gammaproteobacteria; Lysobacterales; Lysobacteraceae. RNAcentral also lists the same sequence under 1 other name.
GUGGCGGUGGAAGAAGUCGAACCUCAUUCGCAUCGCGAAGGUCGAGGGUUCGAUCCCCUUCCGCUCCACCA